RNAcentral lists this transfer RNA (76 nucleotides) under Bacillus halotolerans. RNAcentral's name for it is "tRNA-Arg". It matches the Rfam family "tRNA". Rfam says of the family: Transfer RNA (tRNA) molecules are approximately 80 nucleotides in length. Lineage: Bacteria; Bacillati; Bacillota; Bacilli; Caryophanales; Bacillaceae. The record is from RNAcentral.
CUAGUAGCUCAGCCGGAUAGAGCAUACGCCUUCUAAGCGUACGGUCGGGAGUUCGAAUCUCUCCUGGGACGUACCA